This 329-nucleotide unclassified non-coding RNA is filed under the name soil metagenome. RNAcentral describes it as "partial contains 5.8S ribosomal RNA, internal transcribed spacer 2, and large subunit ribosomal RNA". The stretch from base 1 to 120 matches the Rfam family "5.8S ribosomal RNA", at positions 35 to 154 of the family's 154-position model. The record is from RNAcentral.
GAUGAAGAACGUAGCGAAAUGCGAUAAGUAGUGUGAAUUGCAGAAUUCAGUGAAUCAUCGAAUCUUUGAACGCACAUUGCGCCCCUUGGUAUCCCGAGGGGCAUGCCUGUUCGAGCGUCAUUUCACCACUCAAGCCUGGCUUGGUGUUGGGCGACGCCCUCUUUGGGGACGCGCCUCGAAACGCUCGGCGGCGUGGCACCGGCUUUAAGCGUAGCAGAAUCUUUCGCUUUGGAAGUCGGGGCCCCGUCUGCCGGAAGACCUGCUCGCAAGGUUGACCUCGGAUCAGGCAGGGAUACCCGCUGAACUUAAGCAUAUCAAUAAGCGGAGGA